RNAcentral lists this ribosomal RNA (1887 nucleotides) under Remleria rhododendricola. RNAcentral's name for it is "eukaryotic LSU rRNA". The stretch from base 922 to 1887 matches the Rfam family "Eukaryotic large subunit ribosomal RNA", at positions 1 to 932 of the family's 3401-position model. Lineage: Eukaryota; Fungi; Ascomycota; Leotiomycetes; Helotiales; Hyaloscyphaceae. The record is from RNAcentral.
AGUUCAGGAGUAUGAUUCUUCCGCUGCGACACUUAUAGAAGCCUUUGCGGCCCUGAAAUGGGUUGUUACCGCGACUGAAAUAAUGGUAACUUUACGCAAGUCAGCAUAGCUGGCAACAUAAUCGAAUUGCGGGAAGCCCUAAAGCCCAGCAGUACCAACUAUUUCUGGAAACAGGAACAGGGCUUAUGUUAACUACAUAAGAAGGUCAAAAUCUGCUGGGAUGUACAAUGGGUAAUCCGCAGCGAAGCUCCUACGGGUCUUAAAAAGCCUAUGGAGAACGUUCACAGACUAAGUGGUUAUGGGCAAGGUGAAAUUAUCCCUUGUUUAAGAUAUAGUCGGGUCCUUUAGGCAACUGAAGGAGUAAGUCAAAGCAUUUUGAUAAAAGAGACAAUUACAAUUAUUAGAUUGUCUUUUUGUAAAUACCGUUCCGUUGGUGAACCAGCGGAAGGAUCAUUAAUGAGAUCAUGCCCUUCGGGGUAGACCUCCCACCCUGUGUUCUCUACCAAGGUUGCUUUGGCAGGUCGCCUUCGGGCUCCCAGCUCCGGCUGGGGCGCGCCUGCCAGAGGACCACCCAACGCUGACUGUACGUGUCGUCUGAGCAUUAUAUAAAUUGUUAAAACUUUCAACAACGGAUCUCUUGGUUCUGGCAUCGAUGAAGAACGCAGCGAAAUGCGAUAAGUAAUGUGAAUUGCAGAAUUCAGUGAAUCAUCGAAUCUUUGAACGCACAUUGCGCCCCUUGGUAUUCCGAGGGGCAUGCCUGUUCGAGCGUCAUUUCAACCCUCAAGCCCAGCUUGGUCUUGGGCUCCGCCGGGAACGGCGAGCCUUAAAAUUAGUGGCGGUGCCGUCGAGCUCUACGCGUAGUAGCAAAACCCGCGUGUGAGUCUCGGCGGUCGCUGGCCAGCAACCCCUAACUUCUAUGGUUGACCUCGGAUCAGGUAGGGAUACCCGCUGAACUUAAGCAUAUCAAUAAGCGGAGGAAAAGAAACCAACAGGGAUUACCUCAGUAACGGCGAGUGAAGCGGUAACAGCUCAAAUUUGAAAUCUGGCCCUCUCAGGGUCCGAGUUGUAAUUUGUAGAAGAUGCUUCGGGCGUGGCUCCGGUCUAAGUUCCUUGGAACAGGACGUCGUAGAGGGUGAGAAUCCCGUAUGUGACUGGCUGCCUCCGCCCGUGUGAAGCUCUUUCGACGAGUCGAGUUGUUUGGGAAUGCAGCUCUAAAUGGGUGGUAAAUUUCAUCUAAAGCUAAAUAUUGGCCAGAGACCGAUAGCGCACAAGUAGAGUGAUCGAAAGAUGAAAAGCACUUUGGAAAGAGAGUUAAACAGUACGUGAAAUUGUUGAAAGGGAAGCGCUUGCAAUCAGACUUGCGCGCGGUCGAUCAUCGGGGGUUCUCCCCCGGGCACUCGGCCGUGCUCAGGCCAGCAUCGGUUUGGGUGGCUGGACAAAGGCCCUGGGAAUGUGGCUCCUCUCGGGGAGUGUUAUAGCCCGGGGCGCAAUGCAGCCUACCUGGACCGAGGACCGCGCUUCGGCUAGGAUGCUGGCGUAAUGGUUGUAAGCGACCCGUCUUGAAACACGGACCAAGGAGUCUAACAUCUAUGCGAGUAUUUGGGUGCUAAACCCAUCUGCGUAAUGAAAGUGAACGGAGGUGAGAACCCUGAAGGGUGCAUCAUCGACCGGUCCUGAUGUCUUCGGAUGGAUCUGAGUAAGAGCAUAGCUGUUGGGACCCGAAAGGUACGUUAUAUUAAUCUUUUUGUAUAUUGAGAUCUUGCUAACUUGUGGACAGAUGGUGAACUAUGCCUGAAUAGGGUGAAGCCAGAGGAAACUCUGGUGGAGGCUCGCAGCGGUUCUGACGUGCAAAUCGAUCGUCAAAUUUGGGUAUAGGGGCGAAAGACU